GGGCUAUUAGCUCAGUUGGCUAGAGCGCUGCCCUGAUAAGGCAGAGGCCGCUGGUUCAAGUCCAGCAUAGCCCA
Molecule: transfer RNA, 74 nt
Filed under: Pleurastrum terricola
Lineage: Eukaryota; Viridiplantae; Chlorophyta; Chlorophyceae; Chlamydomonadales; Pleurastraceae
Description: tRNA-Ile
Rfam family: tRNA
About the family: Transfer RNA (tRNA) molecules are approximately 80 nucleotides in length. Their secondary structure includes four short double-helical elements and three loops (D, anti-codon, and T loops).
Source: RNAcentral